Non-coding RNA from Dermacentor albipictus, 296 nucleotides. The record is from RefSeq and is a predicted model, not a curated record. NCBI's taxonomy places the organism in Eukaryota, Metazoa, Arthropoda, Arachnida, Ixodida, Ixodidae.
UUCAUCUUUCGCCUGUCAUUCUUCUGGAGCAGCUUCUUCGCUUUCAUCGGAACUAUUAUCAUUGCAGUAUUGAUAAGUGCGGUUACAGGCGAAUUUCAGAAAAGAAAGGACAAAAGGCUAUGCAAUGAUGCCUUACUGCGACUAUGGGAGAAGAUCCGGGGUUAUGCUUCAAAAAAGGAACCUCACGCUACGAAAUGCAGCUACGAGGAACAUUGUGUAUCUAAACCAGAAGGCGAAAGCCUCGUCAUGCAUGAACGACCGCCUCACGUAUAGAGAAGAAAUUGCCUCCAAGUUCA